CAAUACGUCACCGGCGGACGGGUGCGUAACACGUGGAAAUAUACCUUUUGGUUCGGAACAACGCAGGGAAACUUGCGCUAAUACCGAAUGUGUCCUUACGGAGAAAAAUUUAUCGCCAAAGGAUUAGCCCGCGUUCGAUUAGCUAGUUGGUGAGGUAAUGGCUCACCAAGGCAACGAUCGAUAGCUGUUCUGAGAGGAAGAUCAGCCACACUGGGACUGAGACACGGCCCAG
RNAcentral lists this ribosomal RNA (232 nucleotides) under uncultured bacterium. Its description in RNAcentral is "partial 16S ribosomal RNA". It matches the Rfam family "Bacterial small subunit ribosomal RNA", at positions 85 to 334 of the family's 1533-position model. The record is from RNAcentral.